CCCUAUGGGGUGCAGCAGGCGCGAAAAUUCUACAAUGCACGCAAGUGUGAUAGAGGGAUUCAGAGUGCUUCCUGUUAUGCAGGGAGCUUUUCUAUAGUCCAAAUCGCUAUAGGAAUAAGCGAUGGGUAAGACAGGUGCCAGCCGCCGCGGUAAUACCUGCGUCGCGAGUGGUGACCACGUUUAUUGGGCUUAGAGCAUUCGUAGCUGGUUUUGAAAGUUCCUAAUGAAAUCCCAUGGAUGACUAUGGGGCUUGUUAGGGAAACUACAUGACUUGAGACCGGGAGAGGUCUGGGGUAUUGUAGGGGUAGGGGUUAAACCCUUUUUCCGUAUGAGACACGUAAAAAGCGUUUGCGGAAAAAAGUAACAUUCCUGUAAUCCUUACAAGACCACCUGUGGCGAAGGCGCCAGACUGGAACGGAUCCGACAGUGAGGGAUGAAAGCUAGGGGAGCAAAGGGGAUUAGAUACCCCCGUAGUCCUAGCCGUAAACGAUGCCCGUUAGACAUUGGAGCUCUUACGUGGGGCUUCAGAGUCGUAGGGAAACCGUUAAACGGGCCGCCUGGGGAGUACGUUCGCAAGGAUGAAACUUAAGGGAAUUGGCGGGGGAGCACACAAGAGGUGGAGGCUGCGGUUUAAUUCGAUUCAACGCGAGGAACCUCACCAGCAGCGACAGCAGAAUGAAAGUCACGCUAAAGGUCUUACCAGACAAGCUGAGAAGUGGUGCAUGGCCAAGGCGAAUUCAGC
This 742-nucleotide ribosomal RNA is filed under the name uncultured archaeon. RNAcentral describes it as "bacterial SSU rRNA". It matches the Rfam family "Archaeal small subunit ribosomal RNA", at positions 321 to 1013 of the family's 1478-position model. The record is from RNAcentral.